ACCUUCAGAAAAUAGCCACCAUGAAGCCCGUGGCCCUGGUCCCCCUCUCGAGGUAUCGUAAAGCCAUUCAUAAGGGCAUAAACGCCUGACAACACUCCCUGAUACCAGCCCGGGAUACCCACUUGAGGAUACAGACACAUGAAAAUACACGAGACCACGCUCUAUUUUAACGAAUUGCUGAAGAGUAUUGAAUACUCAAACCCACCGCACAGCACCGGUGCAGCUAAGAGCACAAUUGAAUGAAACCACCAGAUUCAUUUAUUUUAACCUCCACUGGAGCUGUCCCAAAAAAGCAGGGUGGGCAAUGCCAUUUCUGCAGCCGUCCAGUGCUCUGGCAAAUGUUAAGGCUGUCACUGCAGACAGAAUCCCCAUGGUCUGUCUGUGUGCCUCGAUAGAGUCCGAAGAAAAACAUUCCUCGCAUUCCUGACGGUUGGUCCUAUCUCCGGGCCUUGGACUCGGCCCUGCAGGCUCGUGUCACCCCGUCAAACGGCCUAGGCCACGGCUAAUCUAAACCCCUGCCCUCCCCAGCCAGCCCUGCGGCAGGGUGAAAACUGGGACCAAUUUGCUGCCUAAACCCUGAGGAUACAGCAAGUUGAUUCUCAACCUUUAAGGACACCAGCUGCAAUUUGUUCAGCCGAAAAGAGCUUAGCGGUUCUGGCACCUUCUGACAAGAUACAUUUUAUAGGGUUUGUGCUAAAAUUUGAUAUUGGAAGUUGGGAUUCCAGUUGUAUGCCUCCAGUGAUAACAAUAGCAGCUGGGACCUUUAAGAAAUGUGUGUAUGCCUUCUAUUGAAGAGUUACAUAAUAAAAGCUGUUUAUGUCAAACACCUUAUAAGGGAAAGAUUUAGCCUAAAUGUCAAUAUAAUAUACAAUACUUUUUCAUAUUUAGAUAGGACGAAAAAAUCUACUAUCAGUGCUGCAUAUAAUCUUUGGUUUGGAGUAUUAGAUCUGUGGGGGCUUUCAACAUUUUAAGUAAGCAUCUCCUUGCCUUAAUUUACGAAUUCAUCGAGGGGCCUUUUUUUCAAUAUUGUUUCUGUAUAAAAAACAAAUACCGAUACCUCAUUAUUUGGUUUUCCAAGUCCUUCUAAUGAACGCACACAAAAGAAGGGCACAGUUUCAUGUCGUUUGAUUUGACAUUUGUAAUUCCCAAGCAUGCCAUAAAGCCAUUCAGCGGUCCCUUAUAAACCGAGGCUGCUUCUGUCUCCUGAAAAUGGCUGUGGUUUUGGAGAGGAACUGGCUGACCAGAACCUUGAUAAUUCUGAUGAAGGAAGAAAUCAGCCGCCCAAGGAAGAAAACCUUUCCCAGCAAAGAAGCAGCAGCGCCCAGUUCAAGGCAACAUCUGCAGCUCGAUUUCGGAGGGGCUUAAAUCCCCUCCAGCUUCCCUGGUGGCACCACAGCAAGCUUUCUGAGGAGGAAUCCCACCACCAAACAGACAAUGACUCUUGUUUACACCACAUGCUUAGGAGUGAACACGCGUGGGCCUGUGAGGCGGGCUUGGCUGGAAAAUCCCAGCUUCCCUCUUAGCUUUUCUGCUCAGACGGCAGAACCUAACUGAGAUGGGAAGAGAACCCUAAUUAGCAAAGCCAGGGGUUCCCCUGCACCCGUGCAUGUGCUGGUUCCGUCCCCUUGCUUCAGUUUUCUUUGAUGAAUUGGACGGUGUGACCACGGGUUAAUGAGAAAGCCCAGUGGACGGCGGCACGCACGGUCAUCUGGAUGUUCUCUGCUCCUGCCCCAGCCCCUGAGCUUCCCACUGUGGACCACAGGCCCCGUUGGGGAACACAGAGGUCACGGGGGCCAAAUGCAAGCACCGCUUCUCCUUGGGACCUGUUGGAACCAGGCGACACCAACUUAAACUUGGCAAAACGCAAGUUCAGUUUCUUUUGUUCUGAAGUCACAACUUGGAUGUAACAACUCCUAAGCCAAUACGAUCUGAAAAAGAACUCACUACUGAGCUGCCCCCUUCCCACGGUCCGAAAAUUGCUUCAGCCUAAACGGAAGGCAAUUUCCUUUUCUUUUAUAACAAGAGAAUCGCUAAGCUUCACUUAGUAUUUUCCCCCAGUUUCACCACUAAAUACCAGUACUUACAAAAACAUCCCUCGUUGUGUCAACUGCCAGGCUGUCUAAUAUGUUGAAUUUUAAAUAUGUUGGCUACAUGAUUAUUGUCAGAAAGAAUCAUGCUCCAGAUAAGGACCAGGAAGUGCAUCUAAAGACAGCAGGAAUAUUUAGAAUAAAAAUGCGCUGGCCCAGAGGUUUCUGCGGAGACUUAGAUUUGAAACAAUGGCUUUCUGUGUUCUGUGUCCCGUCCACUCAGUGACAUUGAUGCCGACUGUCAUUAUCUACAUUUCACAUCAGAGGAGAUGGAAGGAAAGGAAGAUUCAAUUUCACAAGGGGAGAACGUAACAGAUGAGGCUCGACAGUAAAUAAUAAUAAUUGUAUUAAUAACCACCUUUAUGGAGUUAUUGCCAGAUGCCAGGAGUUUUCUACUCCUGUUAUAUCAUCAUACGUGGAAAGACUCAUUUGACCCCCACAACAACCCAGGAGGAGGGACUAUUAUUAGCUUCAUUUUGUAGAUGAGGAAACUGAGGCAGACAGAGGCCAGCCCAUCGCUGAAGACCAGGCUGCUGGAGAGUGACAAAGUGUCAGAGUCAGGAGCCCAAGCCAGGCUGUCCACUGGCAGAGCUGGAAAAACAGGAGAUAAACAUCAGCACUGAGAUCCCAGGUCACACUGCCGGGGGUCACAGCCCAGACUGCCACCUGGGUGAAGGAACCAUUCUGAGCCUUAGUUUGCUCUUCUAUAAAUUGGGGAGAGCAAUGGUCCCUACCUCAUGGAUUUUUUGUUGGGAUUGCAUAAAAUAGGGCCUGAAAAGUGCAUGUCCCAUUGGACGUGCCCAGCAAACACAAGGUGCUGUGCAUGUGGUCUGGGCUGGCCGCCCACCUGCGAAAAGCUCAUUCAUCUCACUGACCAGGUCAUGACUGCAAGGUUUGCUCCAGGAAUCCGUCUGAGAACUCUGUCCAUGUUCUCAAAUGCCUGGAUGGCAAGGUGGCUGAGGGCAGUAUCGUGCGGUCCCCAGCAGCCAGGACUCAGCCCAGCUGACCUGUCCCCAGCCAGCAGAAGAUGAUCCGCAGAUGCCCCCAGGAAGGGGAUGCAUUGCCAGGUCCACCAGCCCUCCCAGGGAGGCCAUGUGCAGAGCCCCACAGACAGCUCCAGGCCUCGCUGCCGAGUCUGUGUCCUAUAUACAAUGUCAUCUGAGGGUGGCACCGAACACCCAGCUGGCUUGCUGGCCACCCACCAGCCUUUCAGCCACCCCGGCUGCCCUCUGGUUUCUAUUGCAUCUCUUAAAAGGCAGACCCCUCUGGAUGCUUUCCUCCACUCUUUUCAAAGUGCCCCCGCCCUCACCUUUCAAACAUCAAGUUGAUGGUUGUACCAUGAGCCGCAGGAACAAUCAACAGCCCUGAAGCCACUCAACUCAAGGCCUCAAGGCCCUCCCAACAGCCAGCCACCUGCCCUGCCAUGGAGGCUGGGCAGCACAGCUGGGGGCUUGAGAGCUGGUUCAAAUCCUGUGUCUGCCCCUGCGAGCUGUGUUUGCUCAGGCAAGUAGCUUGCCCUCUCUGGAUCUAGUUUCCCUGUCCGCAAAAGCACGGGCAGACACCGGCAAAGUGCUGGCUUGCAAUUCUCAAUAAAUUACGGAUUAGCAGAUCGCUAUUUAACUCAAGCAACAAAAGGAAAAUACUUGAUUGUGUGGAGAGCAAUAACUCUUAAAAAUGGGGUGACUGCCCCAUAAUAAGAAAAGCUAGAAAAAAAUAAAUCACAGACGCAGUGAUUUGGCGUGGUGAUACACGGAGGAAACUCUGCCAUCAGGAAACAGUAUUGUCCAUACGUUUUCUUCCUACCUUCUUCCUUUAAUUACUAAAUAAAAUCUUCAAUCACUGAAAAAUCACUGUAAUAUAAACAAACAUGCCGUUCCCAGUGACAUUAGGGUAUUCUUAUAUUUAAAGCAUCUAUACAUUCAUAAUUAAAAUAUGAACGUUUUGCAAAUAUGAAAAACUUG
Long non-coding RNA from Symphalangus syndactylus (siamang), 4048 nucleotides. RefSeq lists it as uncharacterized. NCBI's taxonomy places the organism in Eukaryota, Metazoa, Chordata, Mammalia, Primates, Hylobatidae. The record is from RefSeq and is a predicted model, not a curated record.